GUCUAGAAGCUUCGACAAUGGACGAAAGUCUGAUCGAGCGACGCCGCGUGCAGGACGAAGGUCUUCGGAUCGUAAACUGCUUUCGACAGGGAAGAACGGUAUGCAGGCUAAUACCCUGUCUAUUUGACGGUACCUGGAGAAGAAGCCCCGGCUAACUCCGUGCCAGCAGCCGCGGUAAUACGGAGGGGGCAAGCGUUGUUCGGAUUUAUUGGGCGUAAAGCGAGCGCAGGCGGUUUGUUAAGUCGGAUGUUAAAGACCCACGGCUCAACCGGGGGAAUGCGUUCGAUACUGAUAGACUAGAGUACGGAAGAGGACAGUGGAAUUCCUGGUGUAGCGGUGAAAUGCGUAGAUAUCAGGAGGAACACCUGUGGCGAAGGCGGCUGUCUGGUCCGUUACUGACGCUGAGGCUCGAAAGCGUGGGGAGCGAACGGG
This 432-nucleotide ribosomal RNA is filed under the name uncultured bacterium. Its description in RNAcentral is "bacterial SSU rRNA". It matches the Rfam family "Bacterial small subunit ribosomal RNA", at positions 354 to 776 of the family's 1533-position model. The record is from RNAcentral.